RNAcentral lists this transfer RNA (96 nucleotides) under Rubrivivax sp. RNAcentral's name for it is "tRNA-OTHER". It matches the Rfam family "Selenocysteine transfer RNA". The record is from RNAcentral. Lineage: Bacteria; Pseudomonadati; Pseudomonadota; Betaproteobacteria; Burkholderiales; Sphaerotilaceae.
GGAAGAGGAUCGUCCCCGGUGGGGCGUCCGGUCUGCAAAACCGGGUGGGGUUGCCCUGCAGUCCCAGGUGGGUUCGACUCCCACCCUCUUCCGCCA